CUCAUAUGUUGUUUCGCUUUACCUAUUCCGGCGUUGAUCGUUUCGCCAGCGACAUACGAAGCUACUAGACGCUUCUAGAAGUCUACUGCGCAUUGUCGUACAACUGUAGACGUUAUAUCGGAAUUAUGAAAAUACGAUUUGUCUCACUAUGCCGACAUGGAUGAAUCUAUCGGUUUAACCGGUAAUCCGCAAAUACCGUGUUUGCUGUGUAAGCGUGUAAAGUGGAUCGUGAAAUAUCUAACGGCAUCGGAUUUAUUACAGAGUUAAGGUGUGCUCACAAACCAGAGCGGUUAGUUGCACCGAAAAUUUGUCGUUUUUCACUAAUUUUAAAUAAAAGAGACGAACACGUGGCUCAUAGUAACGCCAAUUAAUUUGUUCGCUGCGGUAUGUUAUUGCUGCAAGACUUGCAGCGAAAUAAUUUUCGUUCGAUGCCGUGCACUGUUGUAUUUCAUUUACCUACCUCGGUAAAAUGAAUUUCCAAACGGGUCUGCCAAUACCGGAUAGGACUUUUGAUCGAACAAAUUAUAUGUGUGUUUAUGCGCGGAUUACUGUUGAAUUCAAAAUACGAAUUUACGUCUGUAGUCCGAAAAUAUUAAUUCUAUUAUAAUUCUAUUGAAUGCACUAAUCAUAAUGAAUAUUCACCGGUGGUCAGUAGGUACCUGUGUCUAAACGUGUAUUUAUAUAAUACGGACAUGAUGGAAACAUAUAUCACGGGCAAUUCAAAUUGCAUAUAAACGAAUGACUGCGGUAUUAGCAGCCAUUUCGGAUCGAUUAUAUCGUACGAUGUGGUGAUUAAUAAAUUAAACGGAUAUUUAAUUAUUGAAAGAAGGUUACAUUAACAUUGUAGCCUAGAAUUGUUUUGUACUAAAAUUGAGCUCAAAACGGGUGGCAUAUUAUACAUCCAACAUUAAAGGGAAGGAAAACUCAUAGACGUUACCGUUGUCCAUUAGCAGAGUUUCUGCUAUACAUAUAAUUUUCUUAGAACGAGGUCUCUGUGAAUGUUUUGUGAACGGUUUGUUCAACUAUGUGGUUCAAAUGUGUACAGCGUGUACCAUCUCUGAUAUUUUAUCGGUUAGUAAACUUUUUUCCUUUUUUACAAUGUGGCAUUCAUUUACGACGUAACAAUGAUUUAAAAAUUAAAAUUGUUUACAGUAUUUCAUGCACUCUUAGCCCUCU
Non-coding RNA from Cinara cedri, 1176 nucleotides. Lineage: Eukaryota; Metazoa; Arthropoda; Insecta; Hemiptera; Aphididae. The record is from the annotation of a GenBank genome assembly.